CGUAUAAGCAGGUGCUUCACGAUUUUAGACUAUUAUCUGCAGUAAAAAGUAAUGGUCGAACAGCUGCAGUAUUUUAUGAAUGACACAAAAUGACAUUGUUUGGACCGUUUAUGGCACAUUUCACUAUGUUACUCUACCUUUAAUCUUUGUUGUGGCUUAUUGUAGAAAAACCAAGUACGAUCCCAUUGGCAUAUAUACAUGUACAGAAGAUGAAUCGAUUGACUACUAAAUCAUUUUCAUAAUCAUGAUUACGAUAAUAAUAUUUUUUUCUCGAACUACACACGAGAGCUACGUGUGAGAGAAAAGAGAGAAUCCACUUAAGGACUAAAACCCCAGCACAGAACACACCCCCACACGCCUACAUAUAAAAGACCUAUAGACGCCCCACAAAAAUAAACACGACCUCGACCAAAGACCUCUAGAC
Molecule: long non-coding RNA, 424 nt
Filed under: Setaria viridis
Lineage: Eukaryota; Viridiplantae; Streptophyta; Magnoliopsida; Poales; Poaceae
Description: long non-coding RNA (SVIR_LNC008061)
Source: RNAcentral